GGUGGUAGUUUUUAGUGCGUAGGCACCAUGGAUAGCGAAUCGUGCAUGCUGCUACUAAGAGAUAGCAAUAUCUCUUGAAGAUUUUCUACCUCC
Glossina pallidipes is the source of this 93-nucleotide non-coding RNA. The record is from Rfam. NCBI's taxonomy places the organism in Eukaryota, Metazoa, Arthropoda, Insecta, Diptera, Glossinidae.